This 569-nucleotide long non-coding RNA is filed under the name Equus asinus (donkey). RNAcentral's name for it is "lncRNA (ENSEASG00005029314.1)". Lineage: Eukaryota; Metazoa; Chordata; Mammalia; Perissodactyla; Equidae. The record is from RNAcentral.
GAACAACUAUGGCUCCAGGAGGUAGAUGGCAAGUCCUAUCAAGAAGGCCAGAGGGGACAUCAAAAUCUGUUUCUUCUUUCCAAGAAGCUUACAAAUUCCUUGAAAACGGAAUCUGGUUCUUUGAAAGGGUCUUUCAAUACGGUUGUGAUGCUAUUUGAACACCUACCCAGAAUUCAACAGAAAGGGAUAAAAAAGCAGAAGGAAUCAGACCGCAAGGAUGAGACUACCUGACAGAAAACAGUUCCACUUCUAAUGUUUUGGAUCCACCAGAUCCCUGAAAUUUGGAAAAGAGUUGAACUGAAGCAGAAGUUUCCACUGGCUUUGAGUAAAGGUUGGCAGCAGUCACGAGGCCUCCAUCCCUCCCAUUCUCUUGGCUUCCAUCCAUAUUGUGCCAAGCAGAGCAUCAACAGGAUAUGGAGUCAUCUUCCGUGGUCCCAGCUGGCUUUGAUUGUGCUAGGAUGACUUGGCUAUUGCAGAUGCUAGACUGAAAGCGUGUCUCAACUUCACCUCUUUAAUGCAAUGCUGUUUACAUUUGCCCAAUGCUUCCCCCUGCUUUGGAUCAUUUAAAC